Molecule: non-coding RNA, 148 nt
Organism: Gorilla gorilla gorilla (western lowland gorilla)
Lineage: Eukaryota; Metazoa; Chordata; Mammalia; Primates; Hominidae
Rfam family: Metazoan signal recognition particle RNA
About the family: The signal recognition particle (SRP) is a universally conserved ribonucleoprotein. It is involved in the co-translational targeting of proteins to membranes.
Source: Rfam
GCUGGGCGUGGUGGCGCACACCUGUAAUCCCGGCUACUUGGGAGGCUGAGGCAGGAGAAUUGCUUGAACCCGGGAGGCAGAGACUGCAGUGAGCUGAGAUCAUGCCAUUGCACUGCAGCCUGGGUGACAGAGCAAGACUCUGUCUCAA